UGGAGAUGUAGGUCUGUGGUAGAGCACUUGCCCAGCAAGUAUGAGGCCCUGGGUUCAAUCCCCAACACUGCAA
Molecule: transfer RNA, 73 nt
Filed under: Marmota monax (woodchuck)
Lineage: Eukaryota; Metazoa; Chordata; Mammalia; Rodentia; Sciuridae
Description: tRNA.Ala
Source: RNAcentral